This 253-nucleotide ribosomal RNA is filed under the name uncultured bacterium. Its description in RNAcentral is "partial 16S ribosomal RNA". It matches the Rfam family "Bacterial small subunit ribosomal RNA", at positions 524 to 776 of the family's 1533-position model. The record is from RNAcentral.
UACAGAGGUCCCAAGCGUUGUUCGGAUUCAUUGGGCGUAAAGGGUGCGUAGGCGGCGCGGGAAGUCGGGUGUGAAAUCUCGGAGCUUAACUCCGAAACUGCAUUCGAUACUGGCGUGCUUGAGGACUGGAGAGGAGACUGGAAUUCAUGGUGUAGCAGUGAAAUGCGUAGAGAUCAUGAGGAAGACCAGUGGCAAAGGCGGGUCUCUGGACAGUUCCUGACACUGAGGCGCGACAGCGUGGGGAGCAAACAGG